GAAUCACUUUCCCUAAGCAAUUAUGAUUUUACAAAAUGCUGUCAAGACCAUCACAAAGUUUUACUGCCCAGACGGAGCUAAAUGCCUGAAGCUUUCAGCAGUGAUUUAUUAUUUACUCUGGAGGCACUGGCAAGGAUCAGCAAGGAUGGUUCAUCUUUUUACCAUGGUGUGUCAGCUGAGAUGGCUCCACUGGGACUGAAAGAUCCACUCUCAAGUUGGCUCACUCCUGUGGCUGGCAAGUUGGUGAUGGCUGUCAGCUGAGAGUUCAGCUGGGACUGAGGGCAGGGGCACCUGAGUUCCUUUCCACUAGCGCCUCUUCACAGGCUGCUUCGGCUUCUUCACAUUAUGAUGGCUGAGUUCCAAGAUAAAGAAAAAUUCAAAGGCUGUAUGACUUUAUAAAACCUUAGUAACACUUGCUUAGGCUAUAUUAGCUUUAUAUAUAGCUUCAGAAAUCAUUUAGCAUGACUUCCACUGUCAUCACAAACCUGCCCAGAAUCAGGGCGAGGAAACAUACAUUUCACCUCUAACAGGAAGGGCUCAAAGUCACUUUGUAAAGAAGCACACGUGGGAGGGAGAUAAUGCUGCAAUCCUCUUUGGGAAGGGAAUCUGCCACAGGAUCCAAUUCCCUUAGUAGGUCAUCUUUAUCAUUUGUUAAAUUCCUUACACACAUGGGUCUGUCAACUGAGUGCUCUACUCUGUUACUCUGUUCUAUUUGUAUUUUGCCACAAUAAGGCUAUGUCUUAAUAUCUUGACACAAUAUGUCUUAACAUCUGAUAGGGCAAGUUUCCUCUGUGUUUUCCUUUCUCAAAGUUGUUAUUCAUGAACCUCUUAAUCUUCCAUACAACUUCUAAAACACAUCAUCAAGCUCCUUAAAAAAAUCCUACUGGAAUUUUGUUAAGAUUGCCUUGAAAUUAUAAGUUAAUUUGGGGAGAACUGUGGCCAGGCGCAGUGGCUCACACCUGUAAUCCCAGCACUUUGGGAGGCCAAGGCAGGCAGAUCACUUGAGGUCAGAAGUUUGAGACCAGCUUGGCCAACAUGGUGAUACCCCAUCUCUGCUAAAAAUAGAAAAAUUAGCCAGGCGUGGUAGUGCACAUCUGUAAUCCCAGCUACUCAGGAGGCUGAGGCACAAGAGUCACUUGAACCCAGGAGGAGGAGGUUGCAGUGAGCCAAGAUCACGCCACUGGACUCCAGCCUGGGCAAUAGAGCAAGACUCUGUCUCAAAAAAAAAAAAAAAUUGAGGGAGAAUUAACACAACUUUAUAUUGUCAUCUGAUUAAAAUAUGUAAAAAUUACUCCAUUUAUUCAUGCUUUUUAUAGCUUUUAAUUUUUAAUAUUUUACCUAUAGAGAUCUUGUUUAUUUCCUAAAUAUUUAAUAGUUUUUGUUGCUUCCAUGAAUAUUAUUUUUUAACUAUAUUUUCUAAUCAGUUUUUGCUGGUAUUGAGAAAUUCUGUUGCAAUACAUAAGCUGAUCUUGCAUCUGGCAACCUUGCUUAACUCUAAUAGUAUGAUCUGUUGUUUUUGCUAUGUAGAUUAUCACAUUAUCUGCAAAUAAUGAUAGUUUCAUUCCUUCCCCUUUAAUUCCUAUCUCUUUUUGUUCUUCAUUUACAGUUGUCUAGAAAGUCCAGUGUUAUGCUAACAAUAGUGGGGGGUAAUGGGUAUCCUUGUCCUACUACUAGUCUUAAAAUGUAAUACAUCUUUCUCCAUUAAGUAUGAUUUGUGCUCUAGGUUUUUCAAUAUAAAUAGGUAUUUAACUUUAUUAAAUAUUUUCUACAUUUACUGACAUAAUUAUGUGAUUUUUUCUUUUUGUGUAUUAAUGUGGUGAAUUAUGUUAAACCAUCCUUUUACUUCUGAACAAACUUAUCAAAUGACAAUAAA
This 1873-nucleotide long non-coding RNA is filed under the name Homo sapiens (human). RNAcentral's name for it is "HSALNT0032919". Lineage: Eukaryota; Metazoa; Chordata; Mammalia; Primates; Hominidae. The record is from RNAcentral.